CGCACUUAAUGAAGAAAAUCAAGAAACUUCGUAACUAAUAAAAUCAGUUUGCUGAAAAUCUGAAGGCAUAAAGUUAUGCACGAGGCUGUGCUGGAGGGAUGACACUUACGCCUCUGCCCUCCGGAGGCUGUGUGUGACCACUGACGUGUAUUCCUAAUGAAAUCUGAGCAAAAGUGACCCAUGUGUAUUCCAGGAUGACUGCUUUAAUUGUGACAUUCUUCAGCACUUUCUCCAUUGCCCUGUAGUCCCAGAAGCAAAUGCUGAUAUGGACAUAUAGUGUUGAGCCUUAUCAUGGAAGACAUUUCCUGAACCGUCGCCAAAAUCCACAGCUAAGAUUCACACAUGGACCAACAGACUGAUGGACUGAGAGAC
This is a long non-coding RNA of Chinchilla lanigera (long-tailed chinchilla), 372 nucleotides long. The record is from Ensembl. NCBI's taxonomy places the organism in Eukaryota, Metazoa, Chordata, Mammalia, Rodentia, Chinchillidae.